This 200-nucleotide ribosomal RNA is filed under the name uncultured bacterium. Its description in RNAcentral is "partial 16S ribosomal RNA". It matches the Rfam family "Bacterial small subunit ribosomal RNA", at positions 1293 to 1500 of the family's 1533-position model. The record is from RNAcentral.
UCGGAUCGGAGUCUGCAACCCGACUCCGUGAAGCUGGAUUCGCUAGUAAUCGCGCAUCAGCCAUGGCGCGGUGAAUACGUUCCCGGGCCUUGUACACACCGCCCGUCAAGCCAUGGAAGCCGGGGGUGCCUGAAGUGUGCAGCCGCAAGGAGCGCCCUAAGGUAAAACCGGUGACUGGGGCUAAGUCGUAACAAGGUACC